Myotis davidii is the source of this 618-nucleotide long non-coding RNA. RefSeq lists it as uncharacterized. Lineage: Eukaryota; Metazoa; Chordata; Mammalia; Chiroptera; Vespertilionidae. The record is from RefSeq and is a predicted model, not a curated record. The transcript has 4 exons.
UCGGUGUUUCCACUGAGGAAGGGCUGUGAAACUCGACUGGACCGGGAAACUACAUUCCUUAAAGACAGCAGAACAUAAGAAGGCUGGAGACGUGGACACUGUGCUCACCCCUAAGGGAAAUUCACAGUGCUACAGAGGAAUGCAAAAGGGGAAUGAAGACUGGAAGGUGAAGAAGGAUCUUUCUGAGGAAACAUUGCUGAGACCUGAAGAAAUGGAAUGUGAUAACAAGCACGUGGUUUGCUGAAGAGCACGUGCGAAGGCCUUCAGAAAUUGAUUCAGUGCUCGCUAUAUCCUAGAAUGAUGCUUGAAAUUUACAUCAUCUUCAUCUCUGACCACAACUGAACAACACAGGCCAACAAGAGAGAAGAGGAUUUCCUGGACUGAGAAGAAAGGGAUGAACAGACUGGAAACCACCUGGAUUACUGAAUGACUACAUGGAGAAGAUUCUGCCCACUUUCCUUUCAACAACAUACAUUGGGCUUACUAAGUAUUCAAUAUUUCUGGUAUUAAGACAUUGACAAUUUAUAAUUAAGAAUUAGUCCACCUGGCUAAUAGAGACAACCAUCUGGUACAUCUGAAAUUAUUUAAUGGGAUUGUUAAAUAUAUAAGUUCACAAGU